This 253-nucleotide ribosomal RNA is filed under the name uncultured prokaryote. RNAcentral's name for it is "partial 16S ribosomal RNA". It matches the Rfam family "Bacterial small subunit ribosomal RNA", at positions 524 to 776 of the family's 1533-position model. The record is from RNAcentral.
GACGGAGGAGGCAAGCGUUAUCCGGAAUUAUUGGGCGUAAAGCGUCCGUAGGUGGCUAUUCAAGUCUUUUGUCAAAGAGCGGAGCUUAACUCCGACAAGGCAGAAGAAACUGAGUAGCUAGAGAUUGGUAGGGGUAGAGGGAAUUCCUGGUGUAGCGGUGAAAUGCGUAGAUAUCAGGAAGAACACCAGUGGCGAAGGCGCUCUACUGGGCCAAUACUGACACUGAGGGACGAAAGCUAGGGGAGCGAAAGGG